RNAcentral lists this ribosomal RNA (253 nucleotides) under uncultured bacterium. RNAcentral's name for it is "partial 16S ribosomal RNA". It matches the Rfam family "Bacterial small subunit ribosomal RNA", at positions 524 to 776 of the family's 1533-position model. The record is from RNAcentral.
UACAGAGGUCUCAAGCGUUGUUCGGAAUCACUGGGCGUAAAGCGUGCGUAGGUGGCGUGUUAAGUGUGAUGUUAAAUCGUGGGGCUCAACCCUGUCGGUGCAUCACAUACUGGCAUGCUAGAGGACAGCAGAGGCAAGUGGAAUUUGUAGUGUAGCAGUGAAAUGCGUAGAUAUUACAAGGAACACCAAUGGCGAAGGCAGCUUGCUGGGCUACUCCUGACACUGAGGUACGAAAGCGUGGGGAGCGAACAGG